Molecule: ribosomal RNA, 495 nt
Filed under: uncultured bacterium
Lineage: Bacteria
Description: partial 16S ribosomal RNA
Rfam family: Bacterial small subunit ribosomal RNA
Source: RNAcentral
GAUGAACGCUGGCGGCGUGCUUAACACAUGCAAGUCGAACGAAGCACCUCUCCCGAAGAUUGACCCACUUUGCGGUAGAUUGAUUCAUUUAAGUUGAUUGAGGGGCGAACGGGUAAGUAACGCUUGGGUAACCUGCCCAUAAAGGGGGACCAACAGUUGGAAACGAUUGUUAUUACCGCAAAUUAAGAGGAUUUGGCUGGUUUCUUCCUUGAAAGAUUUAUCGCCAUGAGAUGGACCCGCGUCUGAUUAGCUAGUUGGUAAGGUAACGGCUUACCAAGGCGACGAUCAGUAGCCGGCUUGAGAGAGUGAACGGCCACAUUGGGACUGAGACACGGCCCAAACUCCUACGGGAGGCAGCAGUGGGGAAUAUUGCACAAUGGGGGAAACCCUGAUGCAGCGACGCCGCGUGAGUGAAGAAGUAUUUCGGUAUGUAAAGCUCUAUCAGCAGGGAAGAUAAUGACGGUACCUGACUAAGAAGCCCCGGCUAACUACGUG